UCGCUACUACCGAUUGAAUGGCUUAGUGAGGUCUCCGGAUUGGCUUUGGGGAGCCGGCAACGGCACCCUAUUGCUGAGAAGCUGAUCAAACUUGGUCAUUUAGAGGAAGUAA
This 112-nucleotide ribosomal RNA is filed under the name uncultured eukaryote. RNAcentral describes it as "partial small subunit ribosomal RNA". It matches the Rfam family "Eukaryotic small subunit ribosomal RNA", at positions 1676 to 1785 of the family's 1831-position model. The record is from RNAcentral.